GGAGCUGGGGCUCAGCGGUAGAGUGCACACUUAGCACGUGUGAGGCCCUUGGUUCAAUCCUCAGCACCA
This 69-nucleotide transfer RNA is filed under the name Ictidomys tridecemlineatus (thirteen-lined ground squirrel). RNAcentral's name for it is "Spermophilus tridecemlineatus (thirteen-lined ground squirrel) tRNA". It matches the Rfam family "tRNA". From Rfam's summary of the family: Transfer RNA (tRNA) molecules are approximately 80 nucleotides in length. The record is from Rfam by way of RNAcentral. Lineage: Eukaryota; Metazoa; Chordata; Mammalia; Rodentia; Sciuridae.